This 344-nucleotide transfer-messenger RNA is filed under the name bovine gut metagenome. It matches the Rfam family "transfer-messenger RNA". Rfam says of the family: Bacterial tmRNA, also known as 10Sa RNA or SsrA, is named for its dual tRNA and mRNA-like properties. The record is from RNAcentral.
GGGGUAGUAAUGGUCUCGACAGGGAUCUUGCAGCCGGAGAAGCUAUCCGAAGGAGAUCGCGUCAAAUCUCACAAACAAAAAUAAACGCAGACGAUAGUUACGCGUACGCAGCUGCCUGAGUGCAGCAGCCGUCAGUCCUGAGUACCUGUCCUUAGGGGCACUGGCGUCAAACAGACAGGAAACGACCUGUGCAAAGCUUUGAGCAUAGUGGGCGUAUCAUGAAGCUACCGAAACCGGAAAGCCGUCUAUCGCUGUCCGGCGGAGGGAAUCUCAAAAGGUGGACUAUGAUAGUAGAAGUACGGUGAAUAGGUUUUUGGACACGGGUUCGACUCCCGUCUACUCCA